GGGCAGGUAGCCUAGUGGCGAAGGCAAAGAGCUGUAAACUCUUUACGCUAGAAACAUCGGUGGUUCGAAUCCAUCUCUGCCCA
RNAcentral lists this transfer RNA (83 nucleotides) under Bacteriophage sp. RNAcentral's name for it is "tRNA-Tyr". It matches the Rfam family "tRNA". Rfam says of the family: Transfer RNA (tRNA) molecules are approximately 80 nucleotides in length. Their secondary structure includes four short double-helical elements and three loops (D, anti-codon, and T loops). Further hydrogen bonds mediate the characteristic L-shaped molecular structure. tRNAs have two regions of fundamental functional importance: the anti-codon, which is responsible for specific mRNA codon recognition, and the 3' end, to which the tRNAs corresponding amino acid is attached (by aminoacyl-tRNA synthetases). tRNAs cope with the degeneracy of the genetic code in two manners: having more than one tRNA (with a specific anti-codon) for a particular amino acid; and 'wobble' base-pairing, i.e. permitting non-standard base-pairing at the 3rd anti-codon position. RNAcentral also lists the same sequence under 1 other name. The record is from RNAcentral.